Molecule: ribosomal RNA, 543 nt
Filed under: uncultured Janthinobacterium sp.
Lineage: Bacteria; Pseudomonadati; Pseudomonadota; Betaproteobacteria; Burkholderiales; Oxalobacteraceae
Description: bacterial SSU rRNA
Rfam family: Bacterial small subunit ribosomal RNA
Source: RNAcentral
ACGCAGCUAACGCGUGAAGUAGACCGCCUGGGGAGUACGGUCGCAAGAUUAAAACUCAAAGGAAUUGACGGGGACCCGCACAAGCGGUGGAUGAUGUGGAUUAAUUCGAUGCAACGCGAAAAACCUUACCUACCCUUGACAUGUACGGAAGCCACGAGAGAUCGAGGCGUGCUCGAAAGAGAGCCGUAACACAGGUGCUGCAUGGCUGUCGUCAGCUCGUGUCGUGAGAUGUUGGGUUAAGUCCCGCAACGAGCGCAACCCUUGUCAUUAGUUGCUACGAAAGGGCACUCUAAUGAGACUGCCGGUGACAAACCGGAGGAAGGUGGGGAUGACGUCAAGUCCUCAUGGCCCUUAUGGGUAGGGCUUCACACGUCAUACAAUGGUACAUACAGAGGGCCGCCAACCCGCGAGGGGGAGCUAAUCCCAGAAAGUGUAUCGUAGUCCGGAUUGUAGUCUGCAACUCGACUACAUGAAGUUGGAAUCGCUAGUAAUCGCGGAUCAGCAUGUCGCGGUGAAUACGUUCCCGGGUCUUGCACACACCGC